AUCCCCUGGCUAUGGGCAAAGAGACACCUGAUUGGUGGUGGUGCUCUUAUAUCAGUCAGGAGCAGAGCAGACUUGCAGACCCUUUGUUCAUCCUAGCUUGAUGCCUAGAUCGUGGCCAGAGCUGUUUCAUGCCUAGGGCACACAC
This 145-nucleotide small nucleolar RNA is filed under the name Echinops telfairi (small Madagascar hedgehog). RNAcentral's name for it is "Small nucleolar RNA SNORA48 (ENSETEG00000025505.1)". It matches the Rfam family "Small nucleolar RNA SNORA48". Rfam says of the family: The snoRNA ACA 48 has been identified to guide pseudouridylation of the residue U3797 in the 28S rRNA subunit. Its host gene EIF4A1 (eukaryotic translation initiation factor 4A1) is shared with U67 and snoRNA mgU6-77 The record is from RNAcentral. Lineage: Eukaryota; Metazoa; Chordata; Mammalia; Afrosoricida; Tenrecidae.